UAUACUAUAUCUUGUCUUGUGAAACCUCAAACAACUGUUUAGUGUACAACUUAACUUUUCUCCCCUUCCAUAGAAAGGCAAAUUAUUCUAUUUUAUUUUUUGAAAGUUUAUUUAUUUUGAGAGAGAGAUAGAGCACAUGAGCAGGAAAAAGACAAAGAGGGAGAUAGAAUCCCAAGCAGGCUCCACACUGCCAGUAUAGAGCCUGAUUCGGGUUCUAGCUCCCCAAAGGUGAGAUCAUGACCUGAGCCUAAGCCUAAGUCAAGAGCCCAACUCUUAACCAACUGAACUACCCAGGUGCUCCAGAAAGGCAAAUUGUUUUAAAGUGAAAGAAAUACCUUUAUUUUCUUUUUCUUUUUUUUAAUGUUGUUUAUUUAUUUAUUUAUUUAUUUAUUUAUUUGUGAGAGAGAGAGACAGACAGAGUGUGAGCAGAGGAAGGACAGAAAGAGAGACACAGAAUAAGAAGCAGGUUCCAGACUCUGAGCUGUCCGCACAGAGCCCCGCGCUGGGCUCAAACCCUCCAACCGUGAGAUCACGACCUGAGCGGAAGUCUGACGCUCAACCCACUGAGCCACCCAGGCGCCCCUGAAAGAAAUACCUUUAACAAACCAUGUAAUUUGCAAUUUGAUUUAAAGAAGAGAAGAAAGGCCGUCUAGGGUGCCUGUGGUGUAAACCUGAAUACACUUGUUCUCCAUGCUGGUGGGAAAGAGUACAGUAAAAUCACCGUUGUUCUCUUUCCCCGUUCCAGGCGCCGUGGGCACAACCAGCCAGCGCCUGCCCUCCUCCCCCAGGGUGCAAAUGUUAGUCUGCUGCCCGUGAAUUUAUCUGUUCACAUUUCUAUGAAACUUAAAAGGAACCACAUAAAAAAUAACAUCAUGAAUGCGGAUGCUGUAGUCCUGCCCAGUUGAAAAGCCUGGAAAGGGAAUGCCAAUUCGCUAGAAACCUAGGUGAGUACAAGAACUCGUUAAGGAGUGUGAGACAGUCACUGAGACGGAGGAGAGGGAACCCUGGUU
RNAcentral lists this long non-coding RNA (1010 nucleotides) under Felis catus (domestic cat). RNAcentral's name for it is "lncRNA (ENSFCAG00000049103.1)". The record is from RNAcentral. Lineage: Eukaryota; Metazoa; Chordata; Mammalia; Carnivora; Felidae.